Molecule: ribosomal RNA, 437 nt
Filed under: uncultured bacterium
Lineage: Bacteria
Description: partial 16S ribosomal RNA
Rfam family: Bacterial small subunit ribosomal RNA
Source: RNAcentral
AGCGAACGCUGGCGGCAGGCUUAACACAUGCCAGUCGAGCGGGCAUCCUUGUGGUGUCAGCGGCAGACGGGUGAGUAACGCGUGGGAACGUGCCCUUCGGUUCGGAAUAACUCAGGGAAACUUGAGCUAAUACCGGAUACGUGCGAGAGCAGAAAGGUUUAUCUGCCGAAGGAUCGGCCCGCGUCUGAUUAGCUAGUUGGUGAGGUUAUGGCUCACCAAGGCGACGAUCAGUAGCUGGUCUGAGAGGAUGAUCAGCCGCACUGGGACUGAGACACGGCCCAGACUCCUACGGGAGGCAGCAGUGGGGAAUAUUGGACAAUGGGGGCAACCCUGAUCCAGCCAUGCCGCGUGAGUGAUGACGGCCUUAGGGUUGUAAAGCUCUUUUCUUCGGGACGAUAAUGACGGUACCGGAGGAAUAAGCCCCGGCUAACUUCGUG